Molecule: long non-coding RNA, 253 nt
Filed under: Solanum tuberosum (potato)
Lineage: Eukaryota; Viridiplantae; Streptophyta; Magnoliopsida; Solanales; Solanaceae
Description: long non-coding RNA (STUB_LNC006228)
Source: RNAcentral
ACUCCUAAACCUAAAAAAUAAUCCUCAUCCCUUCCUCUCCUCUCUCAACAGCUCCGCCUCCCUUCCCCUUCGUCCUUCUCUCAUCUUCUCCGGCGAGAAGCGAAUGCCGGAGAACCUUCCUCCCUUCUCCUCUUUCUCUCCCAUGUCCCUUCCCUUCACUAUAUUUUUUUUUGCAGGAACCAACCAGCGAAGGCAGUAGCCACAUGAGGCCAGCGACACCGGCGGAAAACCAGCCAGCUCCGACCACGAGCCC